UAAGACUGGAUAGGAAGAUAAAAGGCAUCUUUUAUCUUUUAAAAGACCUAGUAAUAGGUAUGCUUUAGGAGGGGCUUGCGCCAUAUUAGUUAGUUGGUAGGGUAAUGGCCUACCAAGACGAUGAUGUGUAGCUGGACUGAGAGGUUGAACAGCCACAUUGGGACUGAGACACGGCCCAAACUCCUACGGGAGGCAGCAGUAGGGAAUUUUCGGCAAUGGAGGAAACUCUGACCGAGCAACGCCGCGUGAAUGACGAAGUACUUCGGUAUGUAAAGUUCUUUUAUCAAGGAAGAAAAGCAAAUGGCGAACCAUUUGUUUGCCGGUACUUGAUGAAUAAGCCCCGGCUAAUUAUGUGCCAGCAGCCGCGGUAAGACAUAAGGGGCAAGUGUUAUCCGGAAUUAUUGGGCGUAAAGGGUGCGUAGGCGGUCUAGUAAGUCAGUGGUGUAAUGGCAACGCUUAACGUUGUCCGGCUAUUGAAACUGCUAAACUUGAGUUAGAUAGAGGCGAGUGGAAUUCCAUGUGUAGCGGUAAAAUGCGUAAAUAUAUGGAGGAACACCAGAGGCGUAGGCGGCUCGCUGGGUCUUAACUGACGCUGAGGCACGAAAGCGUGGGGAGCAAACAGGAUUAGAUACCCUGGUAGUCCACGCCGUAAACGAUGAGUACUAAGUGUCGGGUUAAACCGGUACUGAAGUUAACACAUUAAGUACUCCGCCUGAGUAGUACGUACGCAAGUAUGAAACUUAAAGGAAUUGACGGGACUCCGCACAAGCGGUGGAUCAUGUUGUUUAAUUCGAAGAUACCCGAAAAACCUUACCAGGUCUUGACAUGUUUUUGCAAAAUGAUAGUAAUAUCGUGGAGGUUACCAGAAACACAGGUGGUGCAUGGUUGUCGUCAGCUCGUGUCGUGAGAUGUUAGGUUAAGUCCUAAAACGAGCGAAACCCUUAUCGUUAGUUGCCAGCACGUUAUGGUGGGGACUUUAACGAGACUGCCAAUGAUAAAUUGGAGGAAGGUGAGGAUCACGUCAAAUCAGCAUGCCCCUUAUGACCUGGGCUACAAACGUGAUACAAUGGCUGUUACA
This 1078-nucleotide ribosomal RNA is filed under the name Chrysanthemum little leaf phytoplasma. RNAcentral's name for it is "bacterial SSU rRNA". It matches the Rfam family "Bacterial small subunit ribosomal RNA", at positions 164 to 1241 of the family's 1533-position model. The record is from RNAcentral. Lineage: Bacteria; Bacillati; Mycoplasmatota; Mollicutes; Acholeplasmatales; Acholeplasmataceae.